This 426-nucleotide ribosomal RNA is filed under the name Peptoniphilus sp. oral taxon A87. RNAcentral's name for it is "bacterial SSU rRNA". It matches the Rfam family "Bacterial small subunit ribosomal RNA", at positions 28 to 430 of the family's 1533-position model. Lineage: Bacteria; Bacillati; Bacillota; Tissierellia; Tissierellales; Peptoniphilaceae. The record is from RNAcentral.
GACGAACGCUGGCGGCGCGCUUAACACAUGCAAGUCGAGCGAUGAAACUUUAACAGAACCCUUCGGGGCGAAGAUAAAGUGGAUUAGCGGCGGACGGGUGAGUAACACGUGAGUAACCUGCCUUAGACAUUGGGAUAGCCUCGGGAAACUGGGAUUAAUACCAAAUAAAAUCAUAAUGACACAUGUCAUAACGAUCAAAACUCCGGUGGUCUAAGAUGGACUCGCGUCCCAUUAGCUAGUUGGUAGAGUAAAAGCCUACCGAGGCGACGAUGGGUAGCCGGCCUGAGAGGGUGAACGGCCACAUUGGAACUGAGAAACGGUCCAAACUCCUACGGGAGGCAGCAGUGGGGAAUAUUGCACAAUGGAGGGAACUCUGAUGCAGCGACGCCCGCGUGAACGAAAGAAAGGGCUUUUCGAGUCGUAAAA